This 75-nucleotide transfer RNA is filed under the name Ignavibacteria bacterium. RNAcentral describes it as "tRNA-Asp". It matches the Rfam family "tRNA". Rfam says of the family: Transfer RNA (tRNA) molecules are approximately 80 nucleotides in length. Their secondary structure includes four short double-helical elements and three loops (D, anti-codon, and T loops). Lineage: Bacteria; Pseudomonadati; Ignavibacteriota; Ignavibacteria. The record is from RNAcentral.
GGGGUCGUAGCUCAGUUUGGUUAGAGCGCCAGUCUGUCACACUGGAGGCCGCGAGUUCAAGUCUCGUCGGCCCCG